This 433-nucleotide ribosomal RNA is filed under the name uncultured bacterium. RNAcentral describes it as "partial 16S ribosomal RNA". It matches the Rfam family "Bacterial small subunit ribosomal RNA", at positions 29 to 507 of the family's 1533-position model. The record is from RNAcentral.
AACGAACGCUGGCGGCAUGCCUAACACAUGCAAGUCGAACGAGACCUUCGGGUCUAGUGGCGCACGGGUGCGUAACGCGUGGGAACCUGCCCUUAGGUUCGGCAUAACUCCCCGAAAGGGGUGCUAAUACCGGAUAAUGUCUUCGGACCAAAGAUUUAUCGCCUUUGGAUGGGCCCGCGUUGGAUUAGCUAGUUGGUAGGGUAAAAGCCUACCAAGGCGACGAUCCAUAGCUGGUCUGAGAGGAUGAUCAGCCACACUGGGACUGAGACACGGCCCAGACUCCUACGGGAGGCAGCAGUGGGGAAUAUUGGACAAUGGGCGAAAGCCUGAUCCAGCAAUGCCGCGUGAGUGAUGAAGGCCUUAGGGUUGUAAAGCUCUUUUACCCGGGAUGAUAAUGACGGUACCGGGAGAAUAAGCUCCGGCUAACUCCGUG